RNAcentral lists this non-coding RNA (21 nucleotides) under Rattus norvegicus (Norway rat). Lineage: Eukaryota; Metazoa; Chordata; Mammalia; Rodentia; Muridae. The record is from RNAcentral.
CUGGGGCUGUGUGCUGGUGUC